This 298-nucleotide unclassified non-coding RNA is filed under the name Hevea brasiliensis (rubber tree). Lineage: Eukaryota; Viridiplantae; Streptophyta; Magnoliopsida; Malpighiales; Euphorbiaceae. The record is from RNAcentral.
UAGAAUAUAUAUAUAUUUUUUUUUCUGCACAGCCAAUGUGCCAGCAAGAAUAAUGAGCAAAGACCACACAACCUAAUUAUCUUAAUUCUUGGGCCAGGCUAUUUUCUUGGUGUUAUCAACAAAGGUCGGGCAUUACACCAUUAAUCUUGUGAAAGUAUGAAAAGCACAUGUUCCAAGUCCAAAGGCCAGACACAAAAGGGUCACAUAACAAAAGGGAAACCAUAAAAGCUUCCAAGAAAUUAUAAAUAUACCUUUAUGGCUAAUGCUUUGUCAAAGCUUUCAAUGGCACUAUCAGGUU